GUACUGAUGACUUUUAAGGAAGAGUGAAGUAGUAGUGAAGAAAAAUUCAGACUUAGGGAUGAUAGAAGUCGUAUUUGGGAUGCCAAAAGUGGCGGUGUGUAUAAAAGGACUGUAUGGAAUCUCUAUCGCCAGUUUAUCGUGAGGAUGACUUCGGUUCAGAAAAAAAAAUUGUUGUGUGAUGCUAACUGAUUAUGAAUUAGACUUUUUUAUUAUGUUUGGAGGUCGGUGUCUCAUUGACAAGAUCGAUUGAUAAGGUAAGAUGUUGUAGGAAUUGUAAAAACCUAAAGUGAAUCACUGGAUUACGUCGUGUUAAUGGAUUUAAGUGGAAAUUCGGAAAGGAUGUUAUUUUGAUGUAACAACGAUUUAUACUCCACUAAGGUUGUCGGAUACUAAUUGGCAAAUUGGGGAACUGAUCACCCUCAAUCUAUUGUUAAUGGUAGACGAAACUCGUGUUGGACGUUAUAGAUUUGUCUUGUUGUCUUAAUAGUGUAGAAAGAAUAUCUAUAUUUUAUCGUGAAGAUAGUCGCCCAUUAGUUUGUGUAGAUUGGUAAGAGGGAUGAUUGAGUUAGAAUUAGAUGAGAUUAACAAUCAGUGUGGUACGUUUUAUGCAAGCGAGUGUCACAAAGUGAAAGAUUGGAAUUAUCAAGUAAACAACGAUGUGAGGAUGAGUAUUGAAGAAAGUUUGUAUUGGAUCGAGAAUUUGUGAACCAUAUAAGUGGACGGAAUUUUAUCGAGAAUGGUGACUUAAAAGAGAAUUAUCAGAGUUGAUAAGCGGAAGCCUUAGGUGACACUGUUGUUGUAAGGCUUGAGGGAGUAAGAAACUAUAUGCUAGAAGUCGGUAAAGAUGAGUUAUCUUGAUAUUUGGAUUGAUGGACUGUUGGAAUAAGUGUGAUGCGCCAAAAUACUGCAUUGAGUCGUUGAUUAUUGCAAAACUGGUAAGAACUGUAAUGUGUUUAUGUUCAUGAGAAUCAUUGUUGUGACGAAGAGGUAGUGAUCGAAGUGUUACCAAGCGCGAUUUGGAGAUUGAUAUUUGGAUACAGGAUUUGGUUGCGAUGGUGUUGUCAAGUAGAUUUUCGAGGACGAAAAUAUUCUAAGUGGGGGAGAGUUGUAACGCCCGGAAAUUCGAUUAUUCGCUUAAUCUAGACGUUCAGAAUGUUUAGUGAAGUUUUUGUAUUUUGAGACGAUUUAGUCGGUAUUAGUUCGGGAUAGCGGAUCGAUAUUUGAUCAAGAGUUUUGAUAUUUUCAGUAUUAGAAAUAUCAUUGGAAUAAUAUUUGAAGUUUUGGGAAUUUUCCGAGUAAUUAAGAUUAGACCGGAAAUAUGAUAUAUUGGUCGAAUUUGGAUUGUCGGUGUUAUUUUAAGAAGCGUAUUUGAAUUUAUUAAGUUAAAAGUCGGAUUUUAGUCGGACGGUCGAAGAAUAAUAUUAAGAAUAAUAUUAUUUACAAGUCGGAAUUUAUUAUAUCGUUGGAAUAUUAAUAAAAGUGAUAUUUUGAUUUAAUUGGAGUUAUUUAUCUUAUUGGGCCUAAAUUGAUUUUGGAGGAUAUUAAAUAAAGAAGAGUUGUUAACCACUAAGCCCAAAUUGGAUUUUAUACUAGGGUUUUAGAGAUUGAAGAUUAGUGUUGUCAUUUGGGAGAAAACAAGAAUAGAAGAGAAGGAGACUAUGGCUUGAAGAAGAUAUUCCAAGCUUGGAGAUUUCAUCCAUGGUGUCAAGUUUAUGAUGCAAUUGGAGACCCAUAGAGUUGCUUCCAUUGAUAAGGUAUUCAAGUAUGAAGAUUUAGUUGUCGUUACUCGAGUCGGUUGUCGCUCUGAUACGUAGCACUCUGGGGGGAACGAUUUAUGUCAUUCAUGAUGUUGUUGUUUAAUUGUGUUAUCUUGGUUGAACAAAAAUGAUAAGUUAACUGAAGAUAUUUUAUUGAAUACUUGUUUAAGUGAUUCCGCUGUGUUUUAAUAAAAUAAGUUAUUCUGUUUCAAA
Molecule: long non-coding RNA, 1970 nt
Organism: Vicia villosa (hairy vetch)
Lineage: Eukaryota; Viridiplantae; Streptophyta; Magnoliopsida; Fabales; Fabaceae
Exons: 2
Source: RefSeq, a predicted model, not a curated record